UGAUAAAUACUGGAUAAAGUUAGUAGUAGCAUUACUAAGUAAUGAAAGGUAGUAAUACGCUAUAUGAGAGCUUUUGCAUCCUAUUAGCUAGUUGGUGGGGUAAAAGCCUACCAAGGCGAUGAUAGGUAGCCGGCCUGAGAGGGUGGACGGCCACAAGGGGACUGAGAUACGGCCCUUACUCCUACGGGGAGGCAGCAGUGGGGAAUAUUGGACAAUGGAGGCAACUCUGAUCCAGCAAUUCUGUGUGUGUGAAGAAGGUUUUAGGACUGUAAAACACUUUUAGUAGGGAAGAAAGAAAUGACGGUACCUACAGAAGAAGCGACGGGCUAAAUACGUGCCAGCAGCCGCGGUAAAU
RNAcentral lists this ribosomal RNA (355 nucleotides) under uncultured Sneathia sp. RNAcentral describes it as "bacterial SSU rRNA". It matches the Rfam family "Bacterial small subunit ribosomal RNA", at positions 160 to 525 of the family's 1533-position model. Lineage: Bacteria; Fusobacteriati; Fusobacteriota; Fusobacteriia; Fusobacteriales; Leptotrichiaceae. The record is from RNAcentral.